This 78-nucleotide transfer RNA is filed under the name Methylotenera sp. Its description in RNAcentral is "tRNA-Pro". It matches the Rfam family "tRNA". Rfam says of the family: Transfer RNA (tRNA) molecules are approximately 80 nucleotides in length. Their secondary structure includes four short double-helical elements and three loops (D, anti-codon, and T loops). Further hydrogen bonds mediate the characteristic L-shaped molecular structure. tRNAs have two regions of fundamental functional importance: the anti-codon, which is responsible for specific mRNA codon recognition, and the 3' end, to which the tRNAs corresponding amino acid is attached (by aminoacyl-tRNA synthetases). tRNAs cope with the degeneracy of the genetic code in two manners: having more than one tRNA (with a specific anti-codon) for a particular amino acid; and 'wobble' base-pairing, i.e. permitting non-standard base-pairing at the 3rd anti-codon position. The record is from RNAcentral. Lineage: Bacteria; Pseudomonadati; Pseudomonadota; Betaproteobacteria; Nitrosomonadales; Methylophilaceae.
CCGAGUGUGGUGUAGUCUGGUGAACAUAGUCGCUUUGGAAGCGAGCGAGCGUAGGUUCAAAUCCUGCCACUCGGACCA